CUACGGGGGCAGCAGUGGGGAAUAUUGCACAAUGGGCGAAAGCCUGAUGCAGCAACGCCGCGUGGAGGAUGACACAUUUCGGUGCGUAAACUCCUUUUAUAGGUCAAGAUAAUGACGGUAGCCUAUGAAUAAGCGCCGGCUAACUCCGUGCCAGCAGCCGCGGUAAUACGGAGGGCGCAAGCGUUACUCGGAAUCACUGGGCGUAAAGAGCGUGUAGGCGGAUUAAUAAGUCAGAAGUGAAAUCCAAUAGCUUAACUAUUGAACUGCUUUUGAAACUGUUGAUCUAGAGUGUGGGAGAGGUAGAUGGAAUUUCUGGUGUAGGGGUAAUAUCCGUAGAUAUCAGAAGGAAUACCGAUUGCGAAGGCGAUCUACUGGAACAUAACUGACGCUGAGACGCGAAAGCGUGGGGAGCAAACAGGAUUAGAUACCCCGGUAGUC
This 438-nucleotide ribosomal RNA is filed under the name uncultured bacterium. Its description in RNAcentral is "partial 16S ribosomal RNA". It matches the Rfam family "Bacterial small subunit ribosomal RNA", at positions 339 to 795 of the family's 1533-position model. The record is from RNAcentral.